Pseudophryne corroboree (corroboree frog) is the source of this 425-nucleotide long non-coding RNA. RefSeq lists it as uncharacterized. The transcript has 3 exons. The record is from RefSeq and is a predicted model, not a curated record. Lineage: Eukaryota; Metazoa; Chordata; Amphibia; Anura; Myobatrachidae.
GGGGAAGGUCACAUGACCAGUGACAGUUGGAUGGAGGAUAGUUGGUCAGGACUGAGAGCUGAGAUCCCUCCCUUACUGAGCUCCCCACGCCUGCUAGCCGUGGAACGCAGCGCAGGUCCGUGGUGGAAUGCAUGCCUGUGUUUCCCUGGUAACCGUUAGCCCUGUGUCCGGAAGUGACGCAGCGGAUGCAGCUGGGUGAAGGGGACGCGACGGCGGAAGUGAAGGAUGGCGGCGUCGGCGGUGUGGGGUUCUAUUUAAGUGGAUUCCGCCAUUACCACCUUCCCUGGCAGAGAAUUCCACAUCCUAAUUGCCCUAACAGUGAAGAACCCUUUCCUCCAUUGCGUUCGGAACUUUCUCUCCUCCAGCCGUAGUGAGUGCCCACGUGUCCUAAACUGUGUUCUUUUAAUAAAUAAUUCUUCUGAUAA